UAAGUUGAAAAAUGAAGCCUUCAUUUGCUGUGCCGUAGCUAGAACCUGAUGAAAGAAUCUGGAUAUACUUUUCAUAGCUUAAAUGCCUAAUGGUCCUUGUAUGCUUCCAUUAUCUGUUAGCUACUUCUGCUCUGAUUAAGAAUUGUCCAUUAUCACAUCUUAAAUGCAGUGGAGCACGUCAAGUGAAGCAUAUUGAUAUGAUACAAGGAACCCGUUGAUUGAUUUUGGAUUAUAUUCUAAUAUAGUAUAAUAUGCUAAUCAGGUGCGUCAGGUUUUGAUAUUAUUUUCUUAAGCUUUUAAUUGCUUCACCGGAUAAAGAUUUUUGUAUGGUCUGACCAUGAACAUCUCUGUCAAGGGCAUA
Molecule: long non-coding RNA, 361 nt
Organism: Hibiscus syriacus
Lineage: Eukaryota; Viridiplantae; Streptophyta; Magnoliopsida; Malvales; Malvaceae
Exons: 3
Source: RefSeq, a predicted model, not a curated record